UACGUAGGGGGCUAGCGUUAUCCGGAAUUACUGGGCGUAAAGGGUGCGUAGGUGGUUUCUUAAGUCAGAGGUGAAAGGCUACGGCUCAACCGUAGUAAGCCUUUGAAGCUGGGAAACUUGAGUGCAGGAGAGGAGAGUGGAAUUCCUAGUGUAGCGGUGAAAUGCGUAGAUAUUAGGAGGAACACCAGUUGCGAAGGCGGCUCUCUGGACUGUAACUGACACUGAGGCACGAAAGCGUGGGGAGCAAACAGG
Molecule: ribosomal RNA, 252 nt
Filed under: uncultured bacterium
Lineage: Bacteria
Description: partial 16S ribosomal RNA
Rfam family: Bacterial small subunit ribosomal RNA
Source: RNAcentral